This 254-nucleotide ribosomal RNA is filed under the name uncultured bacterium. RNAcentral's name for it is "partial 16S ribosomal RNA". It matches the Rfam family "Bacterial small subunit ribosomal RNA", at positions 524 to 776 of the family's 1533-position model. The record is from RNAcentral.
UACGUGGGGGGCGAGCGUUGUCCGGAUUUAUUGGGCGUAAAGAGCUCGUAGGCGGUUCGGUAAGUCGAAUGUGAUAUCUCCACGCUCAACGUGGAGGGGUCAUUCGAAACUGCCGUGACUUGAGUACGGUAGGGGAGUGUGGAAUUCCCGGUGUAGCGGUGAAAUGCGCAGAGAUCGGGAGGAACACCCGUAGCGAAGGCGGCACUCUGGGCCGAUACUGACGCUGAGGAGCGAAAGCGUGGGGAGCAAACAGG